AUUGAACGCUGGCGGCAGGCCUAACACAUGCAAGUCGAACGAGUGGCGGACGGGUGAGUAAUUUCUGGGAAACUGCCUGAUGGAUGGGGAUAACUACUGGAAACGGUAGCUAAUACCGCAUACCAUCGGAUGUGCCCAGAUGGGCUUAGCUAUUAGGUGGGGUAAAGGCUCACCUAGUCGACGAUCCCUAGCUGGUCUGAGAGGAUGGCCAGAAACACUGGAACGGAGACACGGUCCAGACUCCUACGGGAGGCAGCAGGGGGGAAUAUUGCAAAAGGGGCGCAAGCCUGAUGCAGCCAUGCCGCGUGUAUGAAGAAGGCCUUCGGGUUGUAAAGUACUUUCAGCGGGGAGGCGUUACCCGCAGAAGAAGCACCGGCUAACUCCGUGCCAGAAGCCGCGGUAAUAC
RNAcentral lists this ribosomal RNA (406 nucleotides) under uncultured bacterium. Its description in RNAcentral is "partial 16S ribosomal RNA". It matches the Rfam family "Bacterial small subunit ribosomal RNA", at positions 30 to 526 of the family's 1533-position model. The record is from RNAcentral.